GACUAACGCUGGCGGCGUGCUUAACACAUGCAAGUCGAGCGGUAAGGCCCUUUCGGGGUACGACGAGCGGCGAACGGUGAGUAACACGUGGUGACCUGCCCUCAGCUCUGGGAUAAGCCUGGGAAACCGGGUCUAAUACCGGAUAUGACUCCAUGACGCAUGUUGUGGGGUGGAAAGACCUUGUGCGGCUGAGGAUGGGCCCGCGGCCUAUCAGCUUGUUGGUGGGGUGANGGCCUACCAAGGCGACGACGGGUAGCCGGCCUGAGAGGGCGACCGGCCACACUGGGACUGAGACACGGCCCAGACUCCUACGGGAGGCAGCAGUGGGGAAUCUUGCGCAAUGGGCGAAAGCCUGACGCAGCGACGCCGCGUGAGGGAUGACGGCCU
Molecule: ribosomal RNA, 387 nt
Filed under: uncultured bacterium
Lineage: Bacteria
Description: bacterial SSU rRNA
Rfam family: Bacterial small subunit ribosomal RNA
Source: RNAcentral